This 253-nucleotide ribosomal RNA is filed under the name uncultured bacterium. Its description in RNAcentral is "partial 16S ribosomal RNA". It matches the Rfam family "Bacterial small subunit ribosomal RNA", at positions 524 to 776 of the family's 1533-position model. The record is from RNAcentral.
UACAGAGGUCUCAACCGUUGUUCGGAUUCAUUGGGCGUAAAGGGUGCGUAGGCGGUCGUGUAAGUCGGAUGUGAAAUCCCGGGGCUCAACCCCGGAACUGCAUUCGAUACUGCAUGGCUAGGGUACUGGAGAGGAGACUGGAAUUUACGGUGUAGCAGUGAAAUGCGUAGAUAUCGUAAGGAAGACCAGUGGCGAAGGCGAGUCUCUGGACAGUUACCGACGCUGAGGCACGAAGGUCAGGGGAGCAAACGGG